ACCCGGUCUCGUCAGAUCCCGGAAGUUAAGCAACAGUGGGUCAAGUUAGUACUUGGAUGGGUGACCGCCUGGGAAUACUUGAUGCUGUAGACAA
Molecule: ribosomal RNA, 94 nt
Filed under: Acartia pacifica
Lineage: Eukaryota; Metazoa; Arthropoda; Copepoda; Calanoida; Acartiidae
Source: RNAcentral